AGAGUUUGAUCCUGGCUCAGGAUGAACGCUGGCGGCGUGCUUAACACAUGCAAGUCGAACGGAGAACCCCUGACGGAGGAUUCGUCCAACUGAAGGGAAUUCUUAGUGGCGGACGGGUGAGUAACGCGUGAGGAACCUACCUUGGAGUGGGGAAUAACAGUCCGAAAGGACUGCUAAUACCGCAUAAUGCAGUUGGGCCGCAUGGCUCUGACUGCCAAAGAUUUAUCGCUCUGAGAUGGCCUCGCGUCUGAUUAGCUAGUAGGCGGGGUAACGGCCCACCUAGGCGACGAUCAGUAGCCGGACUGAGAGGUUGACCGGCCACAUUGGGACUGAGACGCGGCCCAGACUCCUACGGGAGGCAGCAGUGGGGAAUAUUGGGCAAUGGGCGCAAGCCUGACCCAGCAACGCCGCGUGAAGGAAGAAGGCCCUCGGGUUGUAAACUUCUUUUGACAGGGACGAAACAAAUGACGGUACCUGUCGAAUAAGCCACGGCUAACUACGUGCCAGCAGCCGCGGUAAUACGUGGGUGGCAAGCGUUAUCCGG
Molecule: ribosomal RNA, 544 nt
Filed under: uncultured bacterium
Lineage: Bacteria
Description: bacterial SSU rRNA
Rfam family: Bacterial small subunit ribosomal RNA
Source: RNAcentral